CGCUAAAGCAACCGGCGUCCUGCGUUACGUCACGGCUCGUGCUGCGUAGCGGGCCGAGCGGCUACAGGUAAACCGGAGCACAACAAACCGAAAAACCGGCAGUACGGCAUACCACGGAACGGUUACGAGAGGAGUCAACUGCCAUUCCACUGGAUUAAACUGAUACUAAACUGUGUCACUGACACUCACCGGCGGAUUAUUUUCACCACCGACCAGGCACAGGAGUACGGCUACUGUUAAUUUUUAGUUCUUUUCGAAAUUGUGUUUUUUCGGGUGAAAUGACAAUGUGAUAAAAUACCUUAGAAUCCAUAGUCACCGAGAGAGAGUGCUUGCUAUCGAUUUUCCGACGUCGCCCUGUUUAGCGGUGAAUAUUCAUGUCUAUGGAAGUCAUCGCUUAUUUUAGCUAACAGGAUGGUCCUCUGUGAAAAAUAGUGAGUGUAGCGUCAACAUCGAUUUCCACGGGUGUAAAAAGAAUGACGUCUGCCAUGGACCAUCAUAUAGAGGACCAGGAAGACAAGAUGCGGAUCCUUUUCGAGAAUGAUAAGGAAGAUCUGAGGGAAAAUGGUAUCAGCCUGGAGAAGGAGACUGAACUCCUCAUCAUUGAAGACCUACCCUCUCCCAUUGCCAUGGAGAUCACAGACUUCAACUGUAGGUCUGACGAGACAACCUCUCCUAAUCCAGAUAAGUCUGACAAAUCUCUGACAGACACCAGUCGAGGAACUUCGGAGGAUCUGACAAUUCCAUCCUCCCCUCUCACCGAGGACUGUGUUUCUCCGCUAAUGGAGGACAGUGUUUUUCCUCCUUUAGAGGAUUCCCUCCCCAUUACCUCCUCCCCACUGGACAAAGAGGAGUUAAAACCAGUCUCGGACCAAGUAGGUGAGGUGGACUCAACAUGUUCUAAUAAAGAAGGUGAGUGUUAUAAGCCUCAUUCUGAAGAGGACUCUGAAGGCUCAGAACUAAAUGGUGUGUCUAGUUCACAUUCAGAGUCUGAUAAAGUUGUUGAAGAGUCACUCAACUCAAAAGAGUCUUCUGAAAUAAUAAAAGGAGAGGAUGAUAAAUCUCGUGUCAUAAAAACAGAUAUUAAAGAAGAUUCCGACUCAUCAUGUGAAACUAAGUCAAUCACAGAGGAUGUUACGGCAGUCCUUCCACCAAUCACGGAGGAGGUAACAUCAAACAUUCCACCAGUCACAGAAGAAGUUACAUCGAACAUUCCAUCAGUCAUGGAGAACAAUACAUCAAAUUUACAACCAGCCACAGAGGAGGUUACAUCAAACCUUCCACGAAUCACAGAGGAGGUUACAGCUAACUUUCCACCAAUCACAGAGGAGGUUACAGCUAACUUUCCACCAAUCACAGAGGAGGUUACAGCUAACUUUCCACCAAUCACAGAGGAGGUUACAGCUAACUUUCCACCAAUCACAGAGGAGGUUACAGCUAACUUUCCACCAAUCACAGAGGAGGUUACAGCUAACUUUCCACCAAUCACAGAGGAGGUUACAGCUAACUUUCCACCAAUCACAGAGGAGGUUACAGCUAACUUUCCACCAAUCACAGAGGAGGUUACAGCUAACUUUCCACCAAUCACAGAGGAGGUUACAGCUAACUUUCCACCAAUCACAGAUGUUGGAUCAAACCUUCCACCAAUCACUGAGGAGGCUACAGCAAACAGUUCACCAACCACAGAGGAAGUUACAUCUAAACCGGUGAAUGAUAUUAGGAGUCCUGAAGGAAAUCUUCCAGAAGAAACAUCAGACGACGCUUUAUCAGAAACCAAGGACGAAGAAAGAGUCAAAACGAAUGUCAUUGUUACUGAAGACCCAGUGGAUAAAGAUCUUGUGGCUAUUUCCUCCUCUGUGCAGACCGACGAUUCAAAUGACAAGAAAGUUAUAAAGCGUCCCAGUAAACUCACUGUUGACUCUGUGCAUGUCGACUCUGACUCAAUCGGAAGUGCUGACCUUCCCCUGACUCCAGGGUCACAGGGGUCAUGUGACCCACCGCUGACUCCAAGCUCCAUUGCAACAGAUUUUAAUUCCCAUGAGGAGGUGCAGUCCUUACAGAGGGAGCUCGUACAGACACACACCCUCGUCAAACAACUACAGGCUGUCAUCCUCAAGGAGCGGGUCACACAUAGCCACAACGUCGCUGUCCUCAAAAUGAGGCUUCAACAGAAGGAGGAAGAGUGUCGCAAAAAUGCAGCUAGGUCCGACAAACAACUAGGGGAGGUAAUCGCUCAUCUUCUCCUCCUUGAGGGUCAGUUAAAGAAGGAACACACCCAGGUACGCUGUAAAAUGGCUGACAAUGAAAACAUUAUUAGGAAGCAGGAAGAGCAUAUUGAAUCUCUUACAGAAACCAACCAAACACUAUUGGACACGGUACGUGAAGCUUAUGGCAGGAAAGGAAAAAAUGGAGUAAUGUUACUUGACAAUUUGGGUGAUGAUAAAAAUGGGUCUAGUGAAAGUCUGGAAAGCCCCACUUCAAAGUCACCACCGUCUGUAAAAUCACCUCACAAGGGCAAAUGGGGGUCAAUGAAGGAUAAAAUGACCCGUAAACACCGAAGUAGUCUCGAUCUGAGCGACACAGAUUUUGAAGUAAAUCGCGGUCUGUUGGUCGGCCGACAGUAUGGAAGUCAGGAAAGCUUACUCAUGAUUGGUCGAAAAUCAAAGGAAAUGCGUGAAGGCCGGGACAAAAAGUGUCGUAGCAUAGCUGGUUAUCCAGACAGCUCCCUGGUUGGACUUAUGGAAGUGCCAGAUGAAAAUGAAAUUCGACUUGAUAGUUUCUCACAUUCCAAAGUUUUUGGUGAAAACAAAAACCAACGUGGAAAUGGACAGACUUCUAAUAUGUUACAGGUUUCGUUCAAUGGAAUUGAUCAGUCAUCUGCUGGCUUAUUGUCUGCAAUCUCAAUGCCAAUAUUGUCACAAACAGACAAAAAUUCUAACACAGCUCUUACGAAGGAGAGACCGAAGUCCAUUUCUAGCAUAGAACACAUAUCCUCUCGUGACAGUGGGGGCACCCCUGACUUGCCCCCACAAAUGGAGUCCUACCCCCCACCCCCAAAAUCGCCAGGUGCCACAUCUAACUCCAGCUUUUCUGAAUCAUCCAACCCAUUCAAAAACUUGAAAACCAUAUUAAAACGGAAAGGGAGUAAGAUCAAGGGAAAGAAGCGCUCUGUGACAAUGGCCGAUGCACCUAGUCAGGACUAUCAGGCCGCCGUGAAAAAACAUUUUGAGAAGUAUGACAUGUCGUGAUGAACAGUGCUGCUUCAUAUGUAAGCAAUUAUGUCAAGUGCUUUAAAUUGUGUGUUUAUUAAUCUGUAGGACAAGGAGAUACACCUGUCACUGGGGACAUGUGGAAACACGUUUAUAUAAACUCACAGUUCUGGUUAAUGAUAGUUGUGUGUGUGUUUGAAAGUUUUAUAGCUACAUGUGCCAUAUCCUGGUUAUUGUUUGAAGAAUUCUCCAAGUAGGAUCACUACUUCUAUCAUGUUACGUGUGACAUCAUACACUCCCUGACAUCAUAUAUACAACCAUUGAUGUCAGGAGGAAGUGGCACUACACACCUGAUCUACGUCACCACCACAGAUUGGCCUUUAAUAGGAAAUCUCAAAAAACAAUCACUUCAAUAUAAAUGAUCUCGGCAGCUCCUGAAUAACGUAGUAUAUUACUAAUACUGUAUACUGCAAUCACUUGGUGUUAUGUUUCAUAGAAUUUCACUGAUACAAACUUUUGGGAUUGUGUGAAGUUAUAACCUGUAUUUGCUGUUCUUAUAUUAGCCAUUAAACUGUAGAUGAAAAAAUACACAGCAAAAGCCUCAUUAAUUACAUUAUUACACUAUUAAUACAUCUAUGUACCAUAAGAUGUAUGUGUGACAUAUAAUGUAACUACGAUAAGCUGAGCUGGUGGGGUAUGGCAAUAUGUGAUAUACAAUUGUGGUAUAGAAAUAGAAUACAAAUAUAUACAGGUAUGGUAUAUACAGGUGUGGUAUACAAAUUUGUACAGGUAUGGUAUAUAGAUGUGUAGUAUACAAAUUUAUACAGGUAUGGUAUAAACAUGUAUGGUAUAUACAGGUGUGGUAUACAAAUUUGUACAGGUAUGGUAUAUAGAUGUGUAGUAUACAAAUUUAUACAGGUAUGGUAUAUAUACAGGUGUGGUAUAUAGAUGUGUAGUGUAAAAAUUUAUACAGGUAUGGUAUAUACAGGUAUGGUAUAUACAGGUGUGGUAUAUACAGGUGUGGUAUAUUAAUGUGUGGUACAGAAGUAUACAAAUGUAUACAGGUAUGAUAAACACAAGUGUAGUAUAUAUAUACGGUUGUGAUAUAUGGAUGUGUGGUACAGAAGUAUACAGGUGUGGUACAUACAGAUGUGGUAAAUACAGGUGUGGUAAAUACAGGUGUGGUAAAUACAGGUGUGGUAAACGUGUUUGGUAUAUUACAAGGUUAUUUAAUUGAUGCCUUUCUAGAGUGUAGUCAAAAAUAGUAGCCGGUAGUUGACAAUGUGUUCAUAUUAUAACACAGGGCUGAAGGUCAUCUGACGAUAUUAAAUAUGAGUUUUAUAACAUAAUAUUGAAAAAUAUCAAACACAUUUUAUUGAAUCGCAUACAAUUUAAUUGCCAUCAUGUAUGAAUACUGGACACUUUUCUGUGGCUUUUUAACAAAAAAUUCAAAUCUUUUGAAGAAGCGCAGAUGACACCUUCUGCUAUAUUGACGGCCAGACCGCAAGUAAAUGACAAUUGAACGGCUUUUUGGAAAAAAUUCAUGUGACAAUCACAUGACCAGUCAUACUAAAAAAAUAGCUGAAAAUAGUUGAUUUCAGAAUAUGUAGAACGAAAACAGAUUAUUUUGUUAUAAACAUUUAGUGUACUAGUAUACAAGUAUGGUAUACAGUUGUGAUUGAUAAGCACUGAUGUGUAGGUACAAACAGAUACUGUAUAUGUAAUAUGUCUAGAUCGACCAGCUAUAUAUACCUAUAUAUACUGUACAAUUUGUCUCCUCUACAUAUGAUUAAUGUGCAAAUGGAGUUGAUGCACAUGACACGUCUUUCAUGCUGCUUCAUGCAACUUAUAUUACAUUUGCAUAAAUUUUAUGUAAAUUUUUAAAACUGACACAAAUGUUUCUGACCUGAGAACUAUUAACUUUUCAAAAUGAAUAGUAAGUAGGUCUUACACUGCAUGGUAUAUAGAUUUAUACCUAGACUUGUUCCCAGUGGAUUUACACAUUGUAAUACAUGAUCUACCAGGCAUUAGUGUUUAUGAUUCAAAAGCUCUCUUAAUAAAUUAUUACUUCAUCUAAGUUUUCCAUUAUCAGUUUAUUCCCGUCAUUGUUUUUUGGGGGUUUUUUUCUUUUUUUUCUAAAAUCUAUCUGUUAAUAGAUUUUUUAUGAUUAUUGAAGAACAAUUCUGAGAAAAACAUAUCAUUAUAAAUCUCAGUGGGCACUGCUUGAUUAGCUAGUGUUCAGAAUCCUUUACAUACAUUUAAGCAAUGAUUUUUGUCCAUGGCUGAUCAAAACUUAGCUGGUCAACUUCAGAUCAAAUGUACAGUUGUUAAUUGUCUCCCUUUCCCAUAACCACACUUGCUAAGUUAUUGUUGCAUGAGACGAUUUGUGAGAAUAAAGAUUUGUGAUGUAUAACUAAGGUUUGUGAGAGUAAGAGAUUUGUGAUGUAUAAUUAAGGUUUGUGAGGGUAAGAGAUUUGUGAUGUAUAAAUAAGGUUUGUGAGAAUAGAGAUUUGUGAUGUAUAAUUAUGGUUUGUGAGAAUAGAGAUUUAUGAUGUAUAAUAAAGGUUAAAGAGUAACAGGGGUGUAAUGCACGUCCUCAUAAAAAGUCUGGUAGUUGUGUCUAAAACUCUUUACCUGGAAUUCUAUGUAACAUUUUGAAUAUAAAAACUGUAUUACAGUACAAAUUGAUUUACCUUUUUUUUCAUUUCUACAAGAUUAGAUUGCCGAUAAUUCCAUCUUGACCUGCAAAAUUGGAAUAUAAAUCUUUCUCAGAAGGUACUUUUCUUUGCAAAUAAUUUUCAAUUUUUGGAAAUUCAAACUGAUGUGCAACUAUAACACUACAGCCAUUUAUCACUAAUCAAUAUCCUUUUGUCUGGAUAACUUGUUAUUUCACACCAUUCUAGGGAACAGAUUUGUCUAAGUCAUGUUUGUUAAUCCAACAAUUCAUUAGUCCAGAAAGUGUAUACUUUAGUUGGAACAGAAAUGUCUGGAUUAACAAGGUACAUGUACCCUCGAGCUCAUAUAGGGUGGUUUAAGGUCACUGUAUAAGGUCACUCUGAUAUAAGUCUAUUUAUGGUAUGAGGGCUUAUUAUUUAUAUUCUCAAACCUCGCAUUGUAAAUGGAAAUCAAGCUACAAGCUGUAUUUAUGACAUAUGGUUUUGGCUAGUGAACUACAUGUAUAUGGUUUUGCCUAGUGAACUACAUGUAUAUGGUUUUCGCUGUCGGUGAACAACAUGGUUUUGCUGUGACAUUAUAUAAUUAUGACAUGUGUAUUUGUUAGGACUUGAUGUGAUCAAAUCAUCACUCCAUAGAUACUUCAUGAAAUAGGAAAUAAAAUAUUGUGCUU
RNA transcript from Mizuhopecten yessoensis (Yesso scallop), 6552 nucleotides. RefSeq lists it as uncharacterized. The record is from RefSeq and is a predicted model, not a curated record. Lineage: Eukaryota; Metazoa; Mollusca; Bivalvia; Pectinida; Pectinidae. The transcript has 4 exons.